GGGGAUGUGACUCAGUGGAAAAGUGCUUGCCUGGCAUGCAUGAUGCCCUGGAUUCAAAUUCCCAAGCAUACAUA
This 74-nucleotide transfer RNA is filed under the name Marmota monax (woodchuck). RNAcentral describes it as "tRNA.Ala". Lineage: Eukaryota; Metazoa; Chordata; Mammalia; Rodentia; Sciuridae. The record is from RNAcentral.